GCCGGGAUGGUCUAGUGGUUAUGACGUCUGCCUUACACGCAGAAAAUCGCGAGUUCAAUCCUCGCUCCUGGUA
RNAcentral lists this transfer RNA (73 nucleotides) under Perkinsus marinus ATCC 50983. It matches the Rfam family "tRNA". Rfam says of the family: Transfer RNA (tRNA) molecules are approximately 80 nucleotides in length. Their secondary structure includes four short double-helical elements and three loops (D, anti-codon, and T loops). Further hydrogen bonds mediate the characteristic L-shaped molecular structure. tRNAs have two regions of fundamental functional importance: the anti-codon, which is responsible for specific mRNA codon recognition, and the 3' end, to which the tRNAs corresponding amino acid is attached (by aminoacyl-tRNA synthetases). tRNAs cope with the degeneracy of the genetic code in two manners: having more than one tRNA (with a specific anti-codon) for a particular amino acid; and 'wobble' base-pairing, i.e. permitting non-standard base-pairing at the 3rd anti-codon position. Lineage: Eukaryota; Perkinsozoa; Perkinsida; Perkinsidae. The record is from Rfam by way of RNAcentral.